This 18-nucleotide small RNA is filed under the name Arabidopsis thaliana (thale cress). RNAcentral describes it as "ATSL004630". Lineage: Eukaryota; Viridiplantae; Streptophyta; Magnoliopsida; Brassicales; Brassicaceae. The record is from RNAcentral.
UUUUCUAUGCUUCUCUUA